RNAcentral lists this non-coding RNA (137 nucleotides) under Asanoa hainanensis. The record is from RNAcentral. Lineage: Bacteria; Bacillati; Actinomycetota; Actinomycetes; Micromonosporales; Micromonosporaceae.
AACGCCCGUCGCUAAACUGCGGGCCAGCGAAACUGACGGCUGCUGGAAGCCGGUGGGAAACCGGCGCGGUCGCGCCACUGUGACCGAACCCGUCGCGGGUUCGGAAGUCAGACCCAGCGCCGUCAUGAGAAACCCGC